RNAcentral lists this ribosomal RNA (558 nucleotides) under Eutetrarhynchus sp. 6SS. Its description in RNAcentral is "SSU rRNA". It matches the Rfam family "Eukaryotic small subunit ribosomal RNA", at positions 592 to 1016 of the family's 1831-position model. Lineage: Eukaryota; Metazoa; Platyhelminthes; Cestoda; Trypanorhyncha; Eutetrarhynchidae. The record is from RNAcentral.
CAAUAGCGUAUAUUAAAGUUGCUGCAGUUAAAAAGCUCGUAGUUGGAUCUCGGUAACAUUGUGGCCUGCCAUUGCUGAACACAGUCAGCCAAAUGUAUAGCACCCCGUGUGUUUGCUUUGGUUUACCGUGUUGAGUUGGUUGGGUGAUGGUGUUGCCUUAUAGCCAUGUCUGUGGUGUAAUAGCCACAGGUGUAUGCGAGUGUCAGGCGGCGCGUUGCUUUUUGUGGCGUCCGUCGGCUUGUGUGCAUGCCUACAGAUGCCCUUUAAAAGGUGUCUGUCGGCGGAUGGCACGUUUACUUUGAACAAAUUUGAGUGCUCAAACCAGGCCGAUGUUGCCUGAAAAGUUUUGCAUGGAAUAAUGGAAUAGGACUUCGGUUCUAUUUUGUUGGUUUUCGGAUCCGAAGUAAUGAUCAAAAGAGACAGGCGGGGACGUUUGUAUGGCUGCGCUAGAGGUGAAAUUCAUGGACCGGAGCCAGACAAACUAAAGCGAAAGCAUUCGUCAAGCAUGUUUUCAUUGACCAUGAGCGAAAGUCAGAGGCUCGAAGACGAUCAGAUACC